This 424-nucleotide ribosomal RNA is filed under the name uncultured Bacteroides sp. RNAcentral describes it as "bacterial SSU rRNA". It matches the Rfam family "Bacterial small subunit ribosomal RNA", at positions 355 to 776 of the family's 1533-position model. Lineage: Bacteria; Pseudomonadati; Bacteroidota; Bacteroidia; Bacteroidales; Bacteroidaceae. The record is from RNAcentral.
UGAGGAAUAUUGGUCAAUGGACGAGAGUCUGAACCAGCCAAGUAGCGUGAAGGAUGAAGGUUCUAUGGAUUGUAAACUUCUUUUAUACGGGAAUAAACGAAUCCACGCGUGGAUUUUUGCAUGUACCGUAUGAAUAAGGAUCGGCUAACUCCGUGCCAGCAGCCGCGGUAAUACGGAGGAUCCGAGCGUUAUCCGGAUUUAUUGGGUUUAAAGGGAGCGUAGAUGGGUUGUUAAGUCAGUUGUGAAAGUUUGCGGCUCAACCGUAAAAUUGCAAUUGAUACUGGCAGUCUUGAGUACAGUUGAGGUAGGCGGAAUUCGUGGUGUAGCGGUGAAAUGCUUAGAUAUCACGAAGAACUCCGAUUGCGAAGGCAGCUUACUAACCUGUAACUGACAUUGAUGCUCGAAAGUGUGGGUAUCAAACAGG